UUGUUGGUAAGGUAAAAGCUUACCAAGGCUUCGAUCAGUAGCUGGUCUGAGAGGACGACCAGCCACACUGGGACUGAGACACGGCCCAGACUCCUACGGGAGGCAGCAGUGGGGAAUUUUGGACAAUGGGGGCAACCCUGAUCCAGCCAUGCCGCGUGAGUGAAGAAGGCCUUCGGGUUGUAAAGCUCUUUCAGCCGGAACGAAACGGUUACGGUUAAUACCCGUGACUACUGACGGUACCGGAAGAAGAAGCACCGGCUAACUACGUGCCAGCAGCCGCGGUAAUACGUAGGGUGCGAGCGUUAAUCGGAAUUACUGGGCGUAAAGCGUGCGCAGGUGGUUUUGUAAGUCAGAUGUGAAAGCCCCGGGCUCAACCUGGGAACUGCGUUUGAAACUACAAGACUAGAGUGUGGCAGAGGGGGGUGGAAUUCCGCGUGUAGCAGUGAAAUGCGUAGAGAUGUGGAGGAACACCGAUGGCGAAGGCAGCCCCCUGGGUCAACACUGACGCUCAGGCACGAAAGCAUGGGGAGCAAACAGGAUUAGAUACCCUGGUAGUCCAUGCCCUAAACGAUGUCAACUAGUUGUCGGGCCUUUACGGGCUUGGUAACGUAGCUAACGCGUGAAGUUGACCGCCUGGGGAGUACGAUCGCAAGAUUAAAACUCAAAUGAAUUGACGGGGACCCGCACAAGCGGUGGAUUAUGUGGAUUAAUUCGAUGCAACGCGAAAAACCUUACCUACCCUUGACAUGUAUCGAAGCCCGCAGAAAAGCGGGGGUGCCCGAAAGGGAACGAUAACACAGGUGCUGCAUGGCUGUCGUCAGCUCGCGUCGUGAGAUGUUGGGUUAAGUCCCGCAACGAGCGCAACCCCUGUCAUUAAUUGCCAUCAUUUAGUUGGGCACUUUAAUGAGACUGCCGG
RNAcentral lists this ribosomal RNA (916 nucleotides) under uncultured bacterium. RNAcentral describes it as "bacterial SSU rRNA". It matches the Rfam family "Bacterial small subunit ribosomal RNA", at positions 246 to 1155 of the family's 1533-position model. The record is from RNAcentral.